Molecule: ribosomal RNA, 333 nt
Filed under: Triticum aestivum (bread wheat)
Lineage: Eukaryota; Viridiplantae; Streptophyta; Magnoliopsida; Poales; Poaceae
Description: partial small subunit ribosomal RNA
Source: RNAcentral
GUCCUCUGCAUUGGGACCUCCAUCUAGGUUGGAUCUGGGGCUACGACUCUGUUUUGGUUUGAUAGGUGGGCUGGAGACACCCCCUUUGCUGCGCGCUUCCCCAACCUCUUCUCCAUCGCUAUCGACCCUUCGAUCGUAGUUGAGAGGGCCCUUAUUGACUUAGGGCACCUCGCAUUCCGGAGGCCAUUUGGGCCUCUGGAAUCUGCCGCCUGGCAUGAGCUACUGGCGUGCGUUGCGCUUCACGAACCUAUCAUGGAUGCCGGCCAGGACCUGGUGAGAUGGCGUAUGGAGUCGUCAGGCCAAUUUUCCACCAAGUCCCUCGCUACCUCUUGA